This 506-nucleotide ribosomal RNA is filed under the name uncultured bacterium. Its description in RNAcentral is "partial 16S ribosomal RNA". It matches the Rfam family "Bacterial small subunit ribosomal RNA", at positions 29 to 523 of the family's 1533-position model. The record is from RNAcentral.
AGUGAACGCUGGCGGUAGGCCUAACACAUGCAAGUCGAACGGCAGCACAGGAGAGCUUGCUCUCUGGGUGGCGAGUGGCGGACGGGUGAGGAAUACAUCGGAAUCUACUCUGUCGUGGGGGAUAACGUAGGGAAACUUACGCUAAUACCGCAUACGACCUACGGGUGAAAGCAGGGGACCUUUGGGCCUUGCGCGAUUGAAUGAGCCGAUGUCGGAUUAGCUAGUUGGCGGGGUAAAGGCCCACCAAGGCGACGAUCCGUAGCUGGUCUGAGAGGAUGAUCAGCCACACUGGAACUGAGACACGGUCCAGACUCCUACGGGAGGCAGCAGUGGGGUAUAUUGGACAAUGGGCGCAAGCCUGAUACAGCCAUACCGCGUGGGUGAAGAAGGCCUUCGGGUUGUAAAGCCCUUUUGUUGGGAAAGAAAUCCAGCUGGCUAAUACCCGGUUGGGAUGACGGUACCCAAAGAAUAAGCACCGGCUAACUUCGUGCCAGCCGCCGCAGUAA